Molecule: long non-coding RNA, 1410 nt
Filed under: Homo sapiens (human)
Lineage: Eukaryota; Metazoa; Chordata; Mammalia; Primates; Hominidae
Description: HSALNT0061014
Source: RNAcentral
ACAAAAUCGGGCUGCCUGAGCUAGCAGUAGCAACCGGUUGGGGUGCCCUUCUGCAUUGUGAAGGCUUUGUUCUUUGGCUCUUUGCGAUAAAUCUUGCUGCUGCUCACUUUUUGGGUCCACGCUGCCUUUAUGAGCUGUAACACUCUCUGUGAAGGUCUGUAGCUUCACUCCUGAAGCCAGAGAGACCACGGGAAGGAACGAACAACUCCAGACGCCCCGCCUUAAAAGCUGUAACACUCACCGCGAAGGUCUGCAGCUUCACUCCUGAGCCAGUGAGACCACGAACCUACCAGAAGGAAGAAACUCCAAACACAUCUGAACAUCAGAAGGAACAAACUCCGGACACGCCGCCUUUAAGAACUCUAACACUCACCGCUAGGAUCCGCGGCUUCAUUCUUGAAGUCAGACUGCCCUUUUCCAUGAUUUUAUCCACUUCUUCCACUCCGCCUGAAACCUGUCUGCCUGAGCCCUGCCGAGACCCAGGCCCAGUUUUCUGUCUCGGAUUACUUCAGAGUUUGGCUUGGGCCUUUUCUUCAGGAAUCAUGCUGUGACUCGCUUAGGAUGGUGAUAGGAGUAAAACGAAAGGCACUGUCAGAACAGAGAAAUGGAGAGAUUUAUUUAGGAGAAGAAAUCUCAGUCUCUGUAUCAUCUGCUGGGUGAAGCAACUUUCCAUCUGAGAGAAAGGAGUGCCCACACCCUGUCUACCCACGUCCAGGCCAGCUUAAAAGUCUAACAGGACUUAUGUGCGCAAAACCCUUUCCUGAAUAAUUGUGACAAAGUAAUCUUUUGAAAAAGAGAGAGUUGAAAAAAGAAUCUUCAAAAGGGGACAGUGAUCAUGAAGGCGCUGGAAGGAGAAGGAGACUCUAUGUCAGUCAGGAAAUCUGCAGGCUAGUGGUUCUCAAUGAGAAGAGAUUUUGCCUCCCAGGGACAUUUGGCAACGUCUGAAGGUAUUUUUGUUCGUUCGUUUCAACUGGAGCAGUGCUCCUGCCAGCUAGUGGAAACCCACGGAUGCCAGUAAACAUCCUACCACACACAGGUCAGCCUCUCAAAAUUAUCCAGCCCAAAAUAUCAAUAGAGACAAGGUUGAGAAAUCCUGUUCUAUGCCCACUCACCUUAUGAAAACACAUUUAGCAGGAGUAAGCAAAUACCUUUCCAUAUUAAGUUUCUGUUCAUUGCUUUGAUUACUUCUCCAUCACUGAAAGUACAAAUCAGGCAUCUAUAAUGUCCCCAUUUUACAUACACACUAGAAAACAUAGUGAAUAUCUUAUCUGUAUUAGCAUAUUUGUUAUUUUCAAAAACAGAAUAAAAAUAUGGUUCAAAAGAAUAUUUAAGAAGAUGAGUUCCACAGUCCAUCUGGGUUCAAUUUAAACACAUUGAACCUCAGUCCUCCUAUUUACUAACUGUGUAAUA